RNAcentral lists this ribosomal RNA (492 nucleotides) under uncultured bacterium. RNAcentral's name for it is "partial 16S ribosomal RNA". It matches the Rfam family "Bacterial small subunit ribosomal RNA", at positions 29 to 507 of the family's 1533-position model. The record is from RNAcentral.
AGUGAACGCUGGCGGUAGGCCUAACACAUGCAAGUCGAACGGCAGCACAGUAAGAGCUUGCUCGUACGGGUGGCGAGUGGCGGACGGGUGAGGAAUACAUCGGAAUCUACUUUUUCGUGGGGGAUAACGUAGGGAAACUUACGCUAAUACCGCAUACGACCUACGGGUGAAAGCAGGGGAUCUUCGGACCUUGCGCGAUUGAAUGAGCCGAUGUCGGAUUAGCUAGUUGGCGGGGUAAAGGCCCACCAAGGCGACGAUCCGUAGCUGGUCUGAGAGGAUGAUAAGCCACACUGGAACUGAGACACGGUCCAGACUCCUACGGGAGGCAGCAGUGGGGAAUAUUGGACAAUGGGCGCAAGCCUGAUCCAGCCAUACCGCGUGGGUGAAGAAGGCCUUCGGGUUGUAAAGCCCUUUUGUUGGGAAAGAAAAGCAGCAGGUUAAUACCCCGCUGUUCUGACGGUACCCAAAGAAUAAGCACCGGCUAACUUCGUG